This 273-nucleotide ribosomal RNA is filed under the name uncultured bacterium. RNAcentral's name for it is "partial 16S ribosomal RNA". It matches the Rfam family "Bacterial small subunit ribosomal RNA", at positions 524 to 796 of the family's 1533-position model. The record is from RNAcentral.
UACGGAGGGUGCAAGCGUUAUCCGGAUUCACUGGGUUUAAAGGGUGCGUAGGCGGGCCGGUAAGUCAGUGGUGAAAUCCUGGGGCUUAACCCCAGAACUGCCGUUGAUACUAUCGGUCUUGAAUGUUGUGGAGGUGAGCGGAAUAUGUCAUGUAGCGGUGAAAUGCUUAGAGAUGACAUAGAACACCAAUUGCGAAGGCAGCUCACUACGCAACGAUUGACGCUGAGGCACGAAAGCGUGGGGAUCAAACAGGAUUAGAAACCCCCGUAGUCC